AGGGGGUUUUAUCUUUGGAAAAAGUUCUUGAUUUAGACGUGCAAGUUAAAGGAAAUAACAACACUAAUGAUUCAGCGGGUGACGAAAGAAUAACUAGCCAUCUUUUUUGUAGCUUUGGUUGUGAAAAGACG
Molecule: small nuclear RNA, 131 nt
Filed under: Staphylococcus aureus
Lineage: Bacteria; Bacillati; Bacillota; Bacilli; Caryophanales; Staphylococcaceae
Also listed under: 1 other name
Description: SAUSA300s293
Source: RNAcentral